UGCUCAAGAAAAGGAUUUAAGUCCAGCCUAAAGUCUUCUUAGUUUAUCAAAACGUGGCCUCGACUUUAGAGUAAUUCAAAUAAGGUACAGCCUAUUUGAAAAAGGAUACAACCUAGACUAACGGGUAAUGAUUCAACUUUAUAACUAAGUAGGCCUAAAAGCAGCCACCUUUAAAAUAGCGUCAAAGCUUCAUUAUAGUACACACCUAAUACCAUAAAAAUUUGAUACCCCCUUUUAUUCUAUUGAGUAAUCCUAUACUAUUAUAGAAAAUAUAAUGUUAAAACUAGUAACAAGAAGAAGACCUUCUCUUUAAUGCAAGUGUAAAUCAGAAAGGACCCCCCACUGAUAAUUAACCCCCAUGAAACUACAUUAACAACCUUACAAGAAAAUCUUAAUAAAUUUUGAGUUAAUCUAACACAAGAGCAUUACAAGAAAGAUUUAAAGAAAAAGAAGGAACUCGGCAAACAUUAACCUCGCCUGUUUACCAAAAACAUCGCCUCUUGAAAAACUAUAAGAGGUCCAGCCUGCCCAGUGACUUUGUUCAACGGCCGCGGUAUCCUAACCGUGCGAAGGUAGCGUAAUCACUUGUCUUUUAAAUGGGGACUUGUAUGAAUGGCAUCACGAAGGUUAUACUGUCUCCUUUUUCUAAUCAGUGAAACUAAUCUUCCCGUGAAGAAGCGGGAAUAAACAUAUAAGACGAGAAGACCCUAUGGAGCUUUAAACUCAAUAACAAAUACUAACCUUACAUUAACCUUCAGAAUAUUAACCUUAAUUUUAGUAUUAUGAUUAUUAGUUUUAGGUUGGGGUGACCGCGGAGUAAAAAUUAACCUCCACAUUGAACGGGCCUGUCCCUGAGCCAAGAACUACAGCUCGAAGCACCAACAAAUUGACAUUAAUUGACCCAAUAUUUUGAUCAACGAACCAAGUUACCCUAGGGAUAACAGCGCAAUCCACUUCAAGAGCUCCUAUCGACAAGUGGGUUUACGACCUCGAUGUUGGAUCAGGGUAUCCCAGUGGUGCAGCCGCUACUAAAGGUUCGUUUGUUCAACGAUUAAAACCC
Molecule: ribosomal RNA, 1060 nt
Filed under: Osteocephalus taurinus (Manaus slender-legged treefrog)
Lineage: Eukaryota; Metazoa; Chordata; Amphibia; Anura; Hylidae
Description: partial 16S ribosomal RNA
Rfam family: Bacterial large subunit ribosomal RNA
Source: RNAcentral